CACCCCAGUCAUGAGUCACAAAGUGGUAAGCGCCCUCCCGAAGGUUAAGCUACCUACUUCUUUUGCAACCCACUCCCAUGGUGUGACGGGCGGUGUGUACAAGGCCCGGGAACGUAUUCACCGUGGCAUUCUGAUCCACGAUUACUAGCGAUUCCGACUUCAUGGAGUCGAGUUGCAGACUCCAAUCCGGACUACGACGCACUUUAUGAGGUCCGCUUGCUCUCGCGAGGUCGCUUCUCUUUGUAUGCGCCAUUGUAGCACGUGUGUAGCCCUACUCGUAAGGGCCAUGAUGACUUGACGUCAUCCCCACCUUCCUCCAGUUUAUCACUGGCAGUCUCCUUUGAGUUCCCGGCCGGACCGCUGGCAACAAAGGAUAAGGGUUGCGCUCGUUGCGGGACUUAACCCAACAUUUCACAACACGAGCUGACGACAGCCAUGCAGCACCUGUC
Molecule: ribosomal RNA, 449 nt
Filed under: uncultured soil bacterium
Lineage: Bacteria
Description: partial 16S ribosomal RNA
Source: RNAcentral